This 1693-nucleotide ribosomal RNA is filed under the name Salmonella enterica subsp. enterica serovar Heidelberg. Its description in RNAcentral is "partial 23S ribosomal RNA". It matches the Rfam family "Bacterial large subunit ribosomal RNA", at positions 1154 to 2803 of the family's 2925-position model. The record is from RNAcentral. Lineage: Bacteria; Pseudomonadati; Pseudomonadota; Gammaproteobacteria; Enterobacterales; Enterobacteriaceae.
CGUAUCACCCAAGACAACUUUACGGAGUUGACGAUUGACGGAGCGAAGCGACGUCAAAGCGUUCAUUAAAGUCGAGUUGGCUUAGGGAUACGUUCGUUGGGUAGGGGAGCGUUCUGUAAGCCUGUGAAGGUGUGUCGUGAGGCAUGCUGGAGGUAUCAGAAGUGCGAAUGCUGACAUAAGUAACGAUAAAGCGGGUGAAAAGCCCGCUCGCCGGAAGACCAAGGGUUCCUGUCCAACGUUAAUCGGGGCAGGGUGAGUCGACCCCUAAGGCGAGGCCGAAAGGCGUAGUCGAUGGGAAACGGGUUAAUAUUCCCGUACUUGGUGUUACUGCGAAGGGGGGACGGAGAAGGCUAUGUUGGCCGGGCGACGGUUGUCCCGGUUUAAGCGUGUAGGUGUGUGUUCCAGGUAAAUCCGGUUCACUUUAACACUGAGGCGUGAUGACGAGGCACUACGGUGCUGAAGCAACAAAUGCCCUGCUUCCAGGAAAAGCCUCUAAGCAUCAGGUAACAUCAAAUCGUACCCCAAACCGACACAGGUGGUCAGGUAGAGAAUACCAAGGCGCUUGAGAGAACUCGGGUGAAGGAACUAGGCAAAAUGGUGCCGUAACUUCGGGAGAAGGCACGCUGACACGUAGGUGAAGUGAUUUACUCAUGGAGCUGAAGUCAGUCGAAGAUACCAGCUGGCUGCAACUGUUUAUUAAAAACACAGCACUGUGCAAACACGAAAGUGGACGUAUACGGUGUGACGCCUGCCCGGUGCCGGAAGGUUAAUUGAUGGGGUCAGCGCAAGCGAAGCUCCUGAUCGAAGCCCCGGUAAACGGCGGCCGUAACUAUAACGGUCCUAAGGUAGCGAAAUUCCUUGUCGGGUAAGUUCCGACCUGCACGAAUGGCGUAAUGAUGGCCAGGCUGUCUCCACCCGAGACUCAGUGAAAUUGAACUCGCUGUGAAGAUGCAGUGUACCCGCGGCAAGACGGAAAGACCCCGUGAACCUUUACUAUAGCUUGACACUGAACAUUGAGCCUUGAUGUGUAGGAUAGGUGGGAGGCUUUGAAGCGUGGACGCCAGUCUGCGUGGAGCCGACCUUGAAAUACCACCCUUUAAUGUUUGAUGUUCUAACGUGGACCCGUAAUCCGGGUUGCGGACAGUGUCUGGUGGGUAGUUUGACUGGGGCGGUCUCCUCCUAAAGAGUAACGGAGGAGCACGAAGGUUGGCUAAUCCUGGUCGGACAUCAGGAGGUUAGUGCAAUGGCAUAAGCCAGCUUGACUGCGAGCGUGACGGCGCGAGCAGGUGCGAAAGCAGGUCAUAGUGAUCCGGUGGUUCUGAAUGGAAGGGCCAUCGCUCAACGGAUAAAAGGUACUCCGGGGAUAACAGGCUGAUACCGCCCAAGAGUUCAUAUCGACGGCGGUGUUUGGCACCUCGAUGUCGGCUCAUCACAUCCUGGGGCUGAAGUAGGUCCCAAGGGUAUGGCUGUUCGCCAUUUAAAGUGGUACGCGAGCUGGGUUUAGAACGUCGUGAGACAGUUCGGUCCCUAUCUGCCGUGGGCGCUGGAGAACUGAGGGGGGCUGCUCCUAGUACGAGAGGACCGGAGUGGACGCAUCACUGGUGUUCGGGUUGUCAUGCCAAUGGCACUGCCCGGUAGCUAAAUGCGGAAGAGAUAAGUGCUGAAAGCAUCUAAGCACGAAACUUGCCCCGAG